GACAGAGGCCCCGAGCGUUAGUCGGAAUUACUGGGCUUAAAGGGUGCGUAGGCGGACUCGUAAGUGUCGUGUGAAAGCCCACUGCUUAACGGUGGAACUGCACGGCAAACUGCAAGUCUCGAGGAAUCUAGAGGUCGCUGGAACGCUUGGUGGAGCGGUGGAAUGCGUAGAUAUCAAGCGGAACGCCGAAGGUGAAGACAGGCGACUAGGGAUUUCCUGACGCUGAGGCACGAAAGCGUGGGGAGCAAACAGG
Molecule: ribosomal RNA, 253 nt
Filed under: uncultured bacterium
Lineage: Bacteria
Description: partial 16S ribosomal RNA
Rfam family: Bacterial small subunit ribosomal RNA
Source: RNAcentral